GGGGUUGUGGCUCAUAGGUAGAGCACUCGCCUAGCACAUGCGAGACCCUAGGUUCGAUCCUCAGCACCA
Molecule: transfer RNA, 69 nt
Filed under: Ictidomys tridecemlineatus (thirteen-lined ground squirrel)
Lineage: Eukaryota; Metazoa; Chordata; Mammalia; Rodentia; Sciuridae
Description: Spermophilus tridecemlineatus (thirteen-lined ground squirrel) tRNA
Rfam family: tRNA
About the family: Transfer RNA (tRNA) molecules are approximately 80 nucleotides in length. Their secondary structure includes four short double-helical elements and three loops (D, anti-codon, and T loops).
Source: Rfam by way of RNAcentral